CCUACGGGGGGCAGCAGUAAGGAAUAUUGGUCAAUGGAGGAAACUCUGAACCAGCCAUCCCGCGUGAAGGAUGAAGGGGCUCUGCCUUGUAAACUUCUUUUGUCUGGGGCGAAAAAGCUCGAUUUAUCGAGAACUGACGGUACCAGAAGAAUAAGCACCGGCUAACUCCGUGCCAGCCGCCGCGGUAAUACGGAGGGUGAAGGCGUUAUCCGGAAUCACUGGUGCUAAGGGUUGCUUAGAAGUCUGGGGUGAAAGGCUGUGGCUUAACCAUGGAAUUGCCAUUGAUACUGCAGAGCUUGAAUGAGGUUGAGGUUGGCGGAAGGUGACAUGUAGCGGUGAAAUGCUUAGAUAUGUCAUGGAACACCGAUUGCGAAGGCAGCUGACUGGACCUAUAUUGACGCUGAGGCACGAAAGCGUGGGGAGCGAACAGGAUUAGAUACCCCGGUAGUC
RNAcentral lists this ribosomal RNA (450 nucleotides) under uncultured bacterium. RNAcentral's name for it is "partial 16S ribosomal RNA". It matches the Rfam family "Bacterial small subunit ribosomal RNA", at positions 338 to 795 of the family's 1533-position model. The record is from RNAcentral.